AGCACCAAGAAUGGGUAAG
This 19-nucleotide small nuclear RNA is filed under the name Arabidopsis thaliana (thale cress). RNAcentral describes it as "snRNA_04173". Lineage: Eukaryota; Viridiplantae; Streptophyta; Magnoliopsida; Brassicales; Brassicaceae. The record is from RNAcentral.